Molecule: ribosomal RNA, 452 nt
Filed under: uncultured bacterium
Lineage: Bacteria
Description: bacterial SSU rRNA
Rfam family: Bacterial small subunit ribosomal RNA
Source: RNAcentral
AACGAACGCUGGCGGCAGGCUUAACACAUGCAAGUCGAGCGAAGACUUCGGUCUUAGCGGCGGACGGGUGAGUAACGCGUGGGAACGUGCCCUUUCUUUCGGAAUAGCCCAUGGAAACGUGGAUUAAUGCCGGAUACGCCCUUCGGGGGAAAGAUUUAUCGGGGAAGGAUCGGCCCGCGUUGGAUUAGGUAGUUGGUGGGGUAACGGCCUACCAAGCCGACGAUCCAUAGCUGGUUUGAGAGGAUGAUCAGCCACACUGGGACUGAGACACGGCCCAGACUCCUACGGGAGGCAGCAGUGGGGAAUCUUGGACAAUGGGGGCAACCCUGAUCCAGCCAUGCCGCGUGAACGAUGAAGGCCCUAGGGUUGUAAAGUUCUUUCAGCGGGGAAGAUAAUGACGGUACCCGCAGAAGAAGCCCCGGCUAACUCCGUGCCAGCCGCCGCCGUAACAC